RNAcentral lists this ribosomal RNA (335 nucleotides) under uncultured bacterium. Its description in RNAcentral is "bacterial SSU rRNA". It matches the Rfam family "Bacterial small subunit ribosomal RNA", at positions 8 to 334 of the family's 1533-position model. The record is from RNAcentral.
AGGGUUCGAUUAUGGCUCAGGACGAACGCUGGCGGCGCGCCUAACACAUGCAAGUCGAACGGAGCUAUGUUGAAAGCUUGCUGGAUAGAUAGCUCAGUGGCGGACGGGUGAGUAACACGUGAGUAACCUGCCUUUCAGAGUGGAAUAACGUUUGGAAACGGACGCUAAUACCGCAUGACAUGGCGAGGAGGCAUCUCCUUGCCAUCAAAGAUUUAUCGCUGAAAGAUGGGCUCGCGGCCGAUUAGGUAGUUGGUGUGAUAACAGCCCACCAAGCCGACGAUCGGUAGCCGGACUGAGAGGUUGAUCGGCCACAUUGGGACUGAGACACGGCCCAG